Molecule: ribosomal RNA, 485 nt
Filed under: uncultured bacterium
Lineage: Bacteria
Description: bacterial SSU rRNA
Rfam family: Bacterial small subunit ribosomal RNA
Source: RNAcentral
GAACGCUAGCGGCAGGCUUAACACAUGCAAGUCGAGGGCAGCAUGAUUUAACUUUCGGGUUAGAUUGAUGGCGACCGGCGCAAGGGUGCGUAACACGUGAGCAACUUGCCCUUAUCAGGGGAAUAACCGUUGGAAACGACGACUAAUACCCCAUAGCAUCACUUCAAGGCAUCUUUUAGUGAUUAAAGAAUUUCGGAAACGGAUAGGCUCGCGUGACAUUAGCUAGAUGGCGGGGUAACGGCCCACCAUGGCGACGAUGUCUAGGGGUUCUGAGAGGAAGGUCCCCCACACUGGAACUGAGACACGGUCCAGACUCCUACGGGAGGCAGCAGUGAGGAAUAUUGGUCAAUGGUCUGACGACUGAACCAGCCAUGCCGCGUGAAGGUCACGGCCCUAUGGGUCUUAAACUUCUUUUGUAAGGGAGCAAUAAGCGCCACGUGUGGCGUGAUGAGAGUACCUACGAAUAAGCAUCGGCUAACUCCGUG